Molecule: ribosomal RNA, 253 nt
Filed under: uncultured bacterium
Lineage: Bacteria
Description: partial 16S ribosomal RNA
Rfam family: Bacterial small subunit ribosomal RNA
Source: RNAcentral
UACGUAGGGUGCGAGCGUUGUCCGGAAUUAUUGGGCGUAAAGGGCUCGUAGGCGGUUUGUCGCGUCGGGAGUGAAAACUCAGGGCUCAACCCUGAGCGUGCUUCCGAUACGGGCAGACUAGAGGUAUGCAGGGGAGAACGGAAUUCCUGGUGUAGCGGUGGAAUGCGCAGAUAUCAGGAGGAACACCGGUGGCGAAGGCGGUUCUCUGGGCAUUACCUGACGCUGAGGAGCGAAAGCGUGGGGAGCAAACAGG